This 670-nucleotide ribosomal RNA is filed under the name Alcaligenes sp. CB40(2010). RNAcentral's name for it is "bacterial SSU rRNA". It matches the Rfam family "Bacterial small subunit ribosomal RNA", at positions 75 to 739 of the family's 1533-position model. Lineage: Bacteria; Pseudomonadati; Pseudomonadota; Betaproteobacteria; Burkholderiales; Alcaligenaceae. The record is from RNAcentral.
CUUGCUCUCUUGGUGGCGAGCGCGGAGACGGGUGAGUAAUAUAUCGGAACGUGCCCAGUAGCGGGGGAUAACUACUCGAAAGAGUGGCUAAUACCGCAUACGCCCUACGGGGGAAAGGUCGGGAUUCUUCGGAACCUCUCACUAGUGGAGCGGCCGAUAUCGGAUUAGCUAGUUGGUGGGGUAAAGGCUCACCAAGGCAACGAUCCGUAGCUGGUUUGAGAGGACGACCAGCCACACUGGGACUGAGACACGGCCCAGACUCCUACGGGAGGCAGCAGUGGGGAAUUUUGGACAAUGGGGGAAACCCUGAUCCAGCCAUCCCGCGUGUAUGAUGAAGGCCUUCGGGUUGUAAAGUACUUUUGGCAGAGAAGAAAAGGUAUCUCCUAAUACGAGAUACUGCUGACGGUAUCUGCAGAAUAAGCACCGGCUAACUACGUGCCAGCAGCCGCGGUAAUACGUAGGGUGCAAGCGUUAAUCGGAAUUACUGGGCGUAAAGCGUGUGUAGGCGGUUCGGAAAGAAAGAUGUGAAAUCCCAGGGCUCAACCUUGGAACUGCAUUUUUAACUGCCGAGCUAGAGUAUGUCAGAGGGGGGUAGAAUUCCACGUGUAGCAGUGAAAUGCGUAGAUAUGUGGAGGAAUACCGAUGGCGAAGGCAGCCCCCUAGGGCUCAA